GAUGAACGCUGGCGGCGUGCCUAAUACAUGCAAGUCGAGCGAACAGACGAGGAGCUUGCUCCUUUGACGUUAGCGGCUGACGGGUGAGUAACACGUAGAUAACCUUCCUCUAAUACUGGGAUAACUUCGGGAAACCGGAGCUGAUACCGGAUAAUAUUACGAACCGCAUGGUUCGAUAGUUAAACAUGGCUUUGCCAUCACUUAUAGAUGGUCCUGCGCCGUAUUAGCUAGUUGGUAAGGUAACGGCUUACCAAGGCAACGAUACGUAGCCGACCUGAGAGGGUGAUCGGCCACACUGGAACUGAGACACGGUCCAGACUCCUACGGGAGGCAGCAGUAGGGAAUCUUCCGCAAUGGGCGAAAGCCUGACGGAGCAACGCCGCGUGAGUGAUGAAGGUCUUCGGAUCGUAAAACUCUGUUAUUAGGGAAGAACAAACGUGUAAGUAACUGUGCACGUCUUGACGGUACCUAAUCAGAAAGCAACGGCUAACUACGUG
Molecule: ribosomal RNA, 497 nt
Filed under: uncultured bacterium
Lineage: Bacteria
Description: partial 16S ribosomal RNA
Rfam family: Bacterial small subunit ribosomal RNA
Source: RNAcentral